This is a long non-coding RNA of Gavialis gangeticus (Gharial), 581 nucleotides long. RefSeq lists it as uncharacterized. The transcript has 2 exons. Lineage: Eukaryota; Metazoa; Chordata; Crocodylia; Gavialidae. The record is from RefSeq and is a predicted model, not a curated record.
UCCCCCACAGAUGUGAUCCUUAUGCAUCAGUUCAGGCUUUGCAGCAGCACGCGACUCAGUCAAACAGUGAACAUCAGAGUAUUUUUGAAAUCUCAGGUGCUUUUUUGUUACUUUGGGCAGAGGAACAUGGAACAGUAACCAGAACACCCAAGACGACUCCCCACAAGCGGCUGCAACACAGUCUCCCAGAUGCCCAAGAGAACAGGAAUUUAUCUGGAUUGCUGCAUGCUUUGGCUGAGAUCUUCUUGCAGAGUUUCUGGAAUUACAUCAAAUAUCUUCAAAAAAUACAUUCUGCAAAAAUCUAAUGAGGACUGAAAUGGAAGUUUCAGGGGGGAGAAGAGUUCUUAUAUUGGUGGGCAUGGAGAGGAAGACAUGGAUUACUGUACAUCCCGAGUCAUCCUCUAAAACAUUACUAGAAAAAACUUUCUGGGAGCUGCAAUGUAUACACAAUAGCUGAUCACAUGAUAUAACAUUAUUUUAUUGAUGUUCAUUUGACAUGCAGAAUUCACUUGUGAUUUUUCCACAUGUAAGUAAUGUUUGUAAGUACUAAUCAUGAUAUUAAAAACUUACAGCAUCAUGAA